RNAcentral lists this transfer RNA (100 nucleotides) under Leucosporidium creatinivorum. RNAcentral's name for it is "Leucosporidiella creatinivora tRNA". It matches the Rfam family "tRNA". Rfam says of the family: Transfer RNA (tRNA) molecules are approximately 80 nucleotides in length. Their secondary structure includes four short double-helical elements and three loops (D, anti-codon, and T loops). Further hydrogen bonds mediate the characteristic L-shaped molecular structure. tRNAs have two regions of fundamental functional importance: the anti-codon, which is responsible for specific mRNA codon recognition, and the 3' end, to which the tRNAs corresponding amino acid is attached (by aminoacyl-tRNA synthetases). tRNAs cope with the degeneracy of the genetic code in two manners: having more than one tRNA (with a specific anti-codon) for a particular amino acid; and 'wobble' base-pairing, i.e. permitting non-standard base-pairing at the 3rd anti-codon position. The record is from Rfam by way of RNAcentral. Lineage: Eukaryota; Fungi; Basidiomycota; Microbotryomycetes; Leucosporidiales; Leucosporidiaceae.
GGCGUUGUAGCAAAGUGGUUACUGCGUCAGCCUAGAAUUGGUUCUACAUCCGAUUAGCUGAUCCUCUCUGAGGGCGUAGGUUCGAGUCCUGCCAACGUCG